RNAcentral lists this ribosomal RNA (477 nucleotides) under uncultured bacterium. Its description in RNAcentral is "bacterial SSU rRNA". It matches the Rfam family "Bacterial small subunit ribosomal RNA", at positions 26 to 518 of the family's 1533-position model. The record is from RNAcentral.
AGGACGAACGCUGGCGGCGUGCCUAACACAUGCAAGUCGAGCGAGGAGAUCCUCGGGAUGAUCCUAGCGGCGGACGGGUGAGUAACACGUGGGGCAACCUGCCUCAUAGAGAGGAAUAGCCUUCCGAAAGGGAGAUUAAUACCUCAUAACAUUGCAGUUUCGCAUGGAACAGCAAUUAAAGGAGUAAUCCGCUAUGAGAUGGGGCCCGCGGCGCAUUAGCUAGUUGGUGAGGUAACGGCUCACCAAGGCGACGAUGCGUAGCCGACCUGAGAGGGUGAUCGGCCACAUUGGGACUGAGACACGGCCCAGACUCCUACGGGAGGCAGCAGUGGGGAAUAUUGCACAAUGGGGGGAAACCCUGAUGCAAGCAACGCCGCGUGAGUGAUGACGGCCUUCGGGUUGUAAAGCUCUGUCUUCAGGGACAAUAAUGACGGUACCUGAGGAGGAAGCCACGGCUAACUACGUGCCAGCCGCUGC